Molecule: ribosomal RNA, 327 nt
Filed under: Clostridioides difficile
Lineage: Bacteria; Bacillati; Bacillota; Clostridia; Peptostreptococcales; Peptostreptococcaceae
Description: bacterial LSU rRNA
Rfam family: Bacterial large subunit ribosomal RNA
Source: RNAcentral
AAGUAGCAAGGUUAAGCACUUAAGGUGUGGAGCCGUAGCGAAAGCGAGUUUUACCUGAGCGUUCAGUUACUUGACGUAGACCCGAAACCGGGCGACCUACCCAGGAGCAGGAUGAAGCGAAAGUAAAAUUUCGUGGAGGUCCGAACCCACGAGCGUUGAAAAGCUCGGGGAUGACUUGUGGGUAGCGGUGAAAUUCCAAUCGAGCCCGGAGAUAGCUGGUUCUCCCCGAAAUAGCUUUAGGGCUAGCCUCAAGGUGAGAGAUACGGAGGUAGAGCACUGAAUGUCCUAGGGGGUAUUGCACCUACCGAAGACUAUCAAACUCCGAAU